Molecule: non-coding RNA, 1452 nt
Organism: Paramormyrops kingsleyae
Lineage: Eukaryota; Metazoa; Chordata; Actinopteri; Osteoglossiformes; Mormyridae
Source: RefSeq, a predicted model, not a curated record
CCAUUACACUGCAGGCCACACAGCUAUGUUGUAGCUUAACAUUUGCCUGUAAACAUAGUCAUUCUAUAAAAACCUAAUUAUAUGCUACAUUCUGUUCUAUCUAAAGAUUGGAGCUGGGGUUGUUGAGUGUUCAAAGGGAUGUCUCUGUAACUGGGCAGGUACAUGACCUGCACCACCUCAUCUGGAAAACAUACCACUGCAGCCCCAAAUCAAUGAGGGAGCUCAAACAAUCAGGAGCUGAAACUGGAGUGACAGUGAAUGAAGCCAGUUGGGUGAAGGGGACAAGGAGGCUGCCCCAUGUGUCCCGGAGGGUGAGCAGCUUCCUAAACCAGGGAAGGACGGCAGCACCCAGAGUUCUGGGCAGUUUACUGCAGUAUAUAUGCAGAUGGAUCAGCUGGCAGGUGCCUCAGCCACUGCAGACACAGCUGGGAGAGCAAGAAAGUUCAAAGCCACCCAGGACGAUGGAACAUUUAUGGCAUUCUGCCACUUCCUGUCAGACCUUUUCUCUCCCAUCAGCCGGUUUAGCCUGCUGCUACAGACAAUGAUGUAAUCCUACCUCAGGCUAUUAGUGGCUUCAAACGUCUCCUCACUACCAUAGAAAGUAUGGAAGCCAGACACAAAAUGGUGGCAAGUUGUGUGAGAUCCUGGCAGCCAUGAAGGAGCAACAGAAACAGGCAGAAAGGGGUUAAAGUAUCAGGCAUGUGAUGUUUAUAUAAAAUCUAAUGUUUACUUCAUGUUCAUAAAAUGUAUUUCGUAGUAUUUUCAGUCUUUAUGCUUCACAUGGUGUCACCGUUUGUAAAGGGGAGGCUGAAAAGCUGGCAGAAGGUCUACAAUCAGCCAGUGUGCCCCUAGACUGCAAAGAGCCAUAGAGCUGACCUAUGAGUCUGCAGUGAAACACCUAAAGAAAAGGUUUAGCAGUCUGCUUGGUGAGUUAUUGUAAUCUAUCACUACAUUGUGAGCACUUUGACAUAUCUAUAGUAUAAUUCACAGGCCUAUGUAUUUUCACAUUUUCUGUCUUUGUCUUUUACUGAUAGAGGAGAAUAUGAAGCACACAUCAACAUCCAAGGCAGUGAGGUGUUUCAACGUGAGCCUCAUUUUUUGGCCAGAUGAUAAGCUGGAGGUCCUGAACCAUGGUAUUGGAGACGUGAAGUUUCUCUUAGAGCAUUUCUCCACCGUCCGAGACAGUCUGCAAAAGAGACUUCCCCUCACAAAAAAGAGUUAAGUCAGAUAUCAGGGCAAGUCGGCACACUGAUACUGUGGAGGACCUCAUUCCAAUCAGUGUUGAGGAUCCAGAACUGAUUGAUUAUGAUGCCAGUGAGGAUGUUAAGCUGGUUCUCCCAGGGAAAGCGGGUCAGGAGGCCCAGCUGUAAGAGCUGCCCCUCUGAGUGGAAUUACAGGGGGUUACAUCAGACAUGAGGCAUAAGAUAUGCUGAAGUCUAUUUGUAUCCAGAG